Molecule: ribosomal RNA, 730 nt
Filed under: bacterium SCSIO13233
Lineage: Bacteria
Description: bacterial SSU rRNA
Rfam family: Bacterial small subunit ribosomal RNA
Source: RNAcentral
UCGAGUGGCGAACGGGUGAGUAACACGUGGGUGAUCUGCCCUGCACUUUGGGAUAAGCCUGGGAAACUGGGUCUAAUACCGAAUAGGACUACGCGAUGCAUGUCGUGUGGUGGAAAGCUUUUGCGGUGUGGGAUGGGCCCGCGGCCUAUCAGCUUGUUGGUGAGGUUACGGCUCACCAAGGCGACGACGGGUAGCCGGCCUGAGAGGGUGACCGGCCACACUGGGACUGAGAUACGGCCCAGACUCCUACGGGAGGCAGCAGUGGGGAAUAUUGCACAAUGGGCGCAAGCCUGAUGCAGCGACGCCGCGUGAGGGAUGACGGCCUUCGGGUUGUAAACCUCUUUCGCCAGGGACGAAGCGCAAGUGACGGUACCUGGAGAAGAAGGACCGGCCAACUACGUGCCAGCAGCCGCGGUAAUACGUAGGGUCCGAGCGUUGUCCGGAAUUACUGGGCGUAAAGAGCUCGUAGGUGGUUUGUCGCGUUGUUCGUGAAAACUCACAGCUCAACUGUGGGCGUGCGGGCGAUACGGGCAGACUGGAGUACUGCAGGGGAGACUGGAAUUCCUGGUGUAGCGGUGGAAUGCGCAGAUAUCAGGAGGAACACCGGUGGCGAAGGCGGGUCUCUGGGCAGUAACUGACGCUGAGGAGCGAAAGCGUGGGGAGCGAACAGGAUUAGAUACCCUGGUAGUCCACGCCGUAAACGGUGGGUACUAGGUGUGGGUUUCCUUCC